UACGUAGGGUGCGAGCGUUGUCCGGAAUUAUUGGGCGUAAAGCGCUCGCAGGUGGUUCGUCGCGUCGUGCGUGAAAGACCCCGGCUCAACUGGGGAGGGUCGUGCGAUACGGGCGGACUGGAGGCCAGUAGGGGGAUGCGGAAUUCCGGGUGUAGUGGUGGAAUGCGUAGAGAUCCGGAGGAACACCAGCGGCGAAGGCGGCAUCCUGGACUGGUCCUGACACUCAGGAGCGAAAGCGUGGGGAGCGAUCCGG
Molecule: ribosomal RNA, 253 nt
Filed under: uncultured bacterium
Lineage: Bacteria
Description: partial 16S ribosomal RNA
Rfam family: Bacterial small subunit ribosomal RNA
Source: RNAcentral